AGUUUUAUAUUUUAAGAAGAAAAGUAAAUUGCAAAUUUAUUAGUAGAUAAAAUAUCUUAAAACUU
This 65-nucleotide transfer RNA is filed under the name Kaestneriella sp. KaspPE. RNAcentral's name for it is "tRNA-Cys". Lineage: Eukaryota; Metazoa; Arthropoda; Insecta; Psocodea; Peripsocidae. The record is from RNAcentral.